UAAGAUUUUAAAUUUAAAGUAUUUCUCCUGCUCAAUGAAUUUUAAAUAGCCGCAAUUAUUUUGUGCUAAGGUAGCAUAAUCAUUAGCUUUAUAAUUAAAAGAUAGAAUGAACGGAAAAACGAAAUAAUAAUUAUUUAUACUUUUUUUCAUAAAAUUAAAUUUAAAAUUCAAUAAAAAUCUUAUAUAGACGAUAAGACCCUAUAAACUUAAAUAAUUUAACUGGGGUGGUUAAAUAAUAAAACCUUAAUUUAAAUAGCUAAUAAAAUUAUUAUAUUAUUAUAAAAUUAGUUACUAUAGGGAUAACAGCGCAAUAUUUUUUAAUAGAUCUAAUAUAAAAAAAUAGUUACGACCUCGAUGUUGAAUUAAUAUUCUAAAUUUAAAACGCAAAAGUUAUUUUAAAAGAAGGUCUGUUCGACCAU
This 419-nucleotide ribosomal RNA is filed under the name Mecolaesthus cf. nigrifrons Car248. Its description in RNAcentral is "partial 16S ribosomal RNA". The record is from RNAcentral. Lineage: Eukaryota; Metazoa; Arthropoda; Arachnida; Araneae; Pholcidae.